This 1565-nucleotide long non-coding RNA is filed under the name Daucus carota (carrot). RNAcentral describes it as "long non-coding RNA (DCAR_LNC005344)". The record is from RNAcentral. Lineage: Eukaryota; Viridiplantae; Streptophyta; Magnoliopsida; Apiales; Apiaceae.
UAAAAAGUCUAUUAGAAAUAAUUAGAAAUAAUGCUUCCAAAAAAGUCUAAAAUUAGUUUAAAAUAUAAUACCUGAUCCACCACCAUUUGAUUGCGUGGAGAGUUUUAACACAGAGCCUGAAACAUAAUAUAAAAUUUAAAUCCAUUACCCUGUUUCAUUACAGACUCGAAACAAAAGACUAUUUGGAUGUACGUUAGACAUGUCAUACUCUGAUUUGUUAAAGAGGUGACAUGUGAUUUGGAAUUGACGGAGGCAUGUUGAUUCUGGGACAACACCGAGCCUACAAAAAACAUAGCAGCAGUUGUUUAAAAGAGGCCUAUUUCACAACCCUGGAAAUUUACAAUGCUGAAUACUUUAUUGAGAUAGAAGUUUACCAUCACCAUUGUGCGAUAUAAUAUUGAGCACGGAGCCUAACAGUAAUAAAACAGCACCAUAUUAAAACCCCAAAUGAGAUGCUAUUAUAAACAAACUUAUUUAGGUUAAGAGAUUGAGAAUUGAUUAAGUUACUCUGGUUUGAUAUAGCAGACAAAGGCCUUUUAGGAGUUUGAUAAACAUGAUCAUUUGUGUUGAGCCGAAAACCUAAAAAAAUAAUAAGAGUCUUUCUUAUUUAUGAACAUUGAAUGUUAGUCUAAGCAAUCUAAGCAAUAACUAAAAGAUCUAGAGACCACAACCAAAAAAAUAACAAUGACAAACAAAUACAAAACACAGAAUGAGUGUACACCGAUGAGUCUAGACUUUUUACACAUGAAUUAAGAUAACUCACCAGGGGAGGGACUCCCAUCUUGAGAUGCAUCUUGAGAUGGUCUGAUAUUUUCUUUAUCUUUGUCCACAUUUGGCCUUCUCCUUUUUGAUUUGGAACCUAAAUCAGUUUCACAGAAUUGAAAAAAGCUCAGAAUUAGAUUAACUAAGAUACUUGCACAAAACAGAGAACAUAGUCCAUGAAAUCACCAGAACAAUCAUCCGUCAGCGUAGGGAAACUAUCGAGUUUGAGGUGAUUGUAAAAUCCCUAAAAUCCAUCCAAGAAACAAAAAAACAAAUAUCAGAAGAAAUUCAUCAUCAAAAACCGAGUGCUAAACAAAUGCAUAAAAAGGAUAGAUAAAAACGGGAGGUCGUCGUCAAUAACCUCCUUCAUCGCCUGUAAAAUGUAUGUUUCAGUGUGAAGAGAUUGCUGUGGUAUGUAGUGUAUGUGGGUUUGAAUUCAAAUUGAACAACUUUUUCAAACAUACCUGUAACAAAUGGAUUGAAGAGGAACAAAUUCAGCUCCUGGGGUUUUUUGAGCAAUGAGCCUGUUGUCUCUUUGCCGAAACGGUCUAAACCACUGCGGUGGAAAGCAACGCGAAGUAGGAAGAGCUCAGACAGCAUCACGUGAGUGCAAAUGGAUCCAAAAUACAGCUCAAUUGAAUGCCAGGAAUAGAAAGUGUAGUGAGUCAACUAAAUUUCUUAGUCAAAGGUCAAGCCCAGAAUAAUAUUUUUGGAUGGCAUUUUUUGUAAUUAGGUAUGAAGAAUUGGGGUAGGGGGUGUAAAAAGCCAUUGAAUUUGGAUUCAGGAUUUAUGAUAUAAGGGAU